UGUCAAACAAAUUUGUUAUGAAAUGUGAUGAUGCAUGGCAUGAAAAUUUUUCUAUGGUUUAUUUUUGCUACUCUCGGCAGCUUUAGAUCCGGAACUUAGCUGUAACUACCUUAGUCAGUGCUGAGCAUUGACGUACGUGGAUGGACAGAAUAGUACUUCUAGAAGAAAUAUUAACAGAAGGGUAUAUUUGGCCGUCAACGCGUACCACCCUAUCUAAGGAACUUCGUCCCAUUACAUCUCACACACAGAUUUGCAUGCUGUUUUUCAUCACAAUACUUUUGGCUAAAUCAACGAAACGGUACCAAAAUCCGCUCGGACUGCCUUCAAUCAAAUAAUUGCUGCUGCAUUCACUCAUCAACCAACUGAUUCAUCACAGAAACUGCGUUGGGAUGGCCAACGUGAAGAAUUUUGAUAAAAUUUGAAAAGAACUACCUAGUGACACGAUUUGUCACUUUGAAAAAUAAUUUUAUAACCUACAAUUUGUUCACGCUCGAUAUCUAAAUGAGCUUUUUGGAUUGUAUAUCACAGUUUAGGUUUUUGAAAAAUAAAUCACUAUGGUUUUUGCUGUCUUUUCAUUCCCUCCGACCAAUAACACAAACACAGAAACAAUUUAAAAUUUGACUAGAUUUGCAACUCACUUUAUAAACGAUCGUUUUUCAUGCUUUUCACAUUUAACUUUUGGACAACAGUAACCCCUCUAACAUAAAUGAAAAUUCCGUGUGCAUUGUGGAUUAGAGUGGAAUCAAUCGCUCACUGCUAAUCGCUAUUUUAAGGAAUCCGGGCAGUUUUCCCAGAGACCUCCGUGGGUGUUUAGUGUACUCAAGUGAUCCCGAACUGUACCCUCAAAGCUAGCUGGUAAGACUA
Long non-coding RNA from Culex pipiens pallens (northern house mosquito), 864 nucleotides. RefSeq lists it as uncharacterized. The transcript is spliced from 4 exons. Lineage: Eukaryota; Metazoa; Arthropoda; Insecta; Diptera; Culicidae. The record is from RefSeq and is a predicted model, not a curated record.